RNAcentral lists this ribosomal RNA (506 nucleotides) under uncultured Bacteroides sp. RNAcentral describes it as "partial 16S ribosomal RNA". Lineage: Bacteria; Pseudomonadati; Bacteroidota; Bacteroidia; Bacteroidales; Bacteroidaceae. The record is from RNAcentral.
CACGGAGUUAGCCGAUCCUUAUUCAUAUGGUACAUACAAAACAGUAUACAUACUGAACUUUAUUCCCAUAUAAAGAAGUUUACAACCCAUAGGGCAGUCAUCCUUCACGCUACUUGGCUGGUUCAGACUCUCGUCCAUUGACCAAUAUUCCUCACUGCUGCCUCCCGUAGGAGUUUGGACCGUGUCUCAGUUCCAAUGUGGGGGACCUUCCUCUCAGAACCCCUAUCCAUCGUAGGUUUGGUGGGCCGUUACCCCGCCAACUGCCUAAUGGAACGCAUCCCCAUCUUCAACCGAAUCUUAAUAACCAAGUCAGGAACCAGGUUAUAGCCAUCAAGUAUUAAUCUUCUUUCGAAAGGCUAUCCCUGAGUUGAAGGCAGGUUGGACUACGUGUUACUCACCCGUGCGCCGGUCGCCAUCGAACUUAGCAAGCUAAGUUCAUGCUGCCCCUCGACUUGCAUGUGUUAAGCCUGUAGCUAGCGUUCAUCCUGAGCCAGGAUCAAACGUCU